Molecule: non-coding RNA, 416 nt
Organism: Schizosaccharomyces pombe (fission yeast)
Lineage: Eukaryota; Fungi; Ascomycota; Schizosaccharomycetes; Schizosaccharomycetales; Schizosaccharomycetaceae
Source: the annotation of a GenBank genome assembly
UCAAUGAAUGUUUAAUUUGAACGGCGUCCCGAGUCAGAAAAUACAAACAAUUCAAUUAGCACUGUAACUCUGCUUAAACUUGAUUUUUACUUAUUGUAAUUAUAAUACACUUAUUUAUUCUCAUUAAUAAUAUGUGUUGCAUCCGCAAAUAAAUUACACCCAUUUACUUUCAUGAAUUUAAAAUAGUGGGUUCAAUUGUACUCUUUACAUCUGCGUGCUUUUUGAAUUGCUCAAUGGGCUUAAAAUAAUAAAGCUACAGUUCAAUUGGGCUUUAAAGCGCAAGAAUAAAUACAAUACAACCACAACUUCAUUCGUUUAUUGGCCUUGUAGUACCUUUUCUGUUUUAUAAAAAAAAUAAAUUUAAGAUUGAACGUGAAUUUUGUAUACCAAAUUUUAUUUAAAUAGACAAUUACAAG